AAAAAUGGCCAAGGCUUUACCAUACGAAAAAUCGGCCGAUUUUUAACCAUGUGAGAAACGUCCCGAAAAUUCACAGAUAACUACUAGGAGGCCUCACUCUGAGUAAUAUCAAAGUUUUUUCCCACAAGAACCGCUCGGAGAUGCCCGGACUCAGUUUUUAUUUUCGUCCCAAUACUUUUCUUCCAAUGGACUAGUUGUGUUUCUUUGAUCUUGUGCAACCUCUUUAGGCCGAUGAUAGCCCGCGGAUAGGUGUGGAAACCCAUCUAUAUUGCACCCAGUACGACACAGAAAAAAAGCCCAGGGCCUAGGGGUCGGGUGGGGCUCGUUCGGGGUGCACAACGGUUGCGCCAAAAACGGUCCAAAAAUGGCCAAGGCUUUACCAUACGAAAAAUCGGCCGAUUUUUAACCAUGUGAGAAACGUCCCGAAAAUUCACAGAUAACUACUAGGAGGCCUCACUCUGAGUAAUAUCAAAGUUUUUUCCCACAAGAACCGCUCGGAGAUGCCCGGACUCAGUUUUUAUUUUCGUCCCAAUACUUUUCUUCCAAUGGACUAGUUGUGUUUCUUUGAUCUUGUGCAACCUCUUUAGGCCGAUGAUAGCCCGCGGAUAGGUGUGGAAACCCAUCUAUAUUGCACCCAGUACGACACAGAAAAAAAGCCCAGGGCCUAGGGGUCGGGUGGGGCUCGUUCGGGGUGCACAACGGUUGCGCCAAAAACGGUCCAAAAAUGGCCAAGGCUUUACCAUACGAAAAAUCGGCCGAUUUUUAACCAUGUGAGAAACGUCCCGAAAAUUCACAGAUAACUACUAGGAGGCCUCACUCUGAGUAAUAUCAAAGUUUUUUCCCACAAGAACCGCUCGG
Molecule: long non-coding RNA, 858 nt
Filed under: Cucumis sativus (cucumber)
Lineage: Eukaryota; Viridiplantae; Streptophyta; Magnoliopsida; Cucurbitales; Cucurbitaceae
Description: long non-coding RNA (CSAT_LNC002570)
Source: RNAcentral